UGCACGCUCUGAAAAGGCCCACUUGUCUUCGCAAUCUGUGGCCGGUAGAUUGAUACAAAACUUAAUGCAGAGGAAACCCUCUGCAUUGAUUUUUCCGGGGAAUUCUCUAUAUUUCUGAUGAUGUGGUGGGGGAUCUCAAUACCCCCGUUCUGUCUAUGAGCCUCCCAUCGUUCGUUAUCCACUCAAACACCCUAUUGCAUACGUGGCGCAUUUGAGUCCACUUCUCUGCUCCGAUUCGAUUCUCUGGCUGUUGGUAGGUGAUUCGUUGUGAAGAAUCGCCUACGGUCCUGAAGGUCGUUUGACUCUCUCAUG
RNAcentral lists this small RNA (312 nucleotides) under Histoplasma ohiense. RNAcentral's name for it is "hypothetical lncRNA". The record is from RNAcentral. Lineage: Eukaryota; Fungi; Ascomycota; Eurotiomycetes; Onygenales; Ajellomycetaceae.